RNAcentral lists this unclassified non-coding RNA (973 nucleotides) under Zea mays. RNAcentral describes it as "misc RNA Zm00001eb141240". The record is from RNAcentral. Lineage: Eukaryota; Viridiplantae; Streptophyta; Magnoliopsida; Poales; Poaceae.
CAUUAAAAGAAUAGUUUUGAUGGACCUAAACAACCAAGUUCUGUAGUUGCAACAUGCCAACACAUUAACAAUUUUUAAAAUUUAUUUAGUAACUUUUGUUUAUACAUGCAGGCUCAAGCAUCACUUGAGCGGGAUGAUGAGGAUGUAUAUUUUGAUGAUGAAUCUACAGCUGGAAUGCAUGAUGAGAUCGAGGAUGAUCAGUUUGAAUCUAUUUUUGUUCAAGCUGAUCCAGUAGUCACUGUUGACAACCUGCUGGAACAAGUGACAGAUCGUGAAAUUACUGUGGAUGAGAACACAACACUUAUAGUUUGGUGAGAGGCAACAGAGCACAGAUGCAAUGGAUGAGGAUGUUGUAGAGGACCAUUCUGAAACUGAUGGUGAUUAUUCCAAUGAACACAUAGAAGCGGUAACUACUGACAAAGUUCCAGAACUCAAGCUGAUUGAAGAUAUUUUUGUUCAAUCUGAUCAUGCAGUUGCUGCUGACAACCUACCAGAACAAGUGAGAGAUUGUGAAAUUACCUUGGAGACCACAUCACUGAUAGUUGAUGAGAAGCAACAGAUCAUGGUUACAGUGGAUGGAGAUCUUGUCAAGGAUGAUUCUGAAACCGAUAAUGUUCAUGACGAUGAACAGAUGGAAGUGGUAACUGCUGACGAAGUGCUAGAGGACACAGGGAUAACUGUUGAAGAUGUUGAGGAGAAGCAAAAGAGCACAUUUACAGUGGAUAAAGAUGCUGUUGAUGAUCAUUUUUUCAAAACUGAUGAUGUUCAUGCCGAUGAACAGAUGGAAGCGUCAACUACUGAUGAAGUACCAGAACUCACAGAGGCAGAUUAUGAAGUUGUUGAGGAGAAGCAACAGAGCACAUAUACAAUGAAUGGAUGCUUUGAGAAUGAUCAUUUCAAAAUCCAUGUUGCUCAUGCUGAUGAAAAGAAGGAAGUUGUUGCUACUGAUGUGCCAGAAGUCACAGGGACGGAC